UUUGGGGGUUUAUUCGGAAUUUUACCCACCGAGGUAAACCCGGAAGAUUCUCCACUCCCGACUUUCUCGCUUCAACUCCUUCGACCUUCUCUACGCAGAUUAGAUUAUUCCGAACAAAUCAAUUUCUAAACUACCAUAUUUUCUGCAUAUUCACGACCACAUAUCAAGUUCAUCGUUGAUUCAAAAAAAAAAAAAAAGCAAACUCGGCACUCGAUUUUUCUGCAAAAAAAUUCAGGAAAUCGUCGGUGGUGACUGGUGAGUUUAUUUCGUUUUUUGGUGCUUAGGUAUAAAAUUUAUUCAAAACCCACGGCUGCGGCGUCGCAAAAAGUGAUACAUGGUGUUGCCGAAAGUGAGGGUUCGAGGAGGAAGGACGGCGCGACGGAGACGGCGUCGAGUUUCGAGGAGCAUGGUUUGAGUGUGGAAGUGAUGGCGGCGUUGCAGAAAUUGCUGAGAAGGGAGGAGCAUUUGCACGGUAUGCUGAUGAAGCCCAGACGCCCACGGGCUGUUGUACUGUGCCCAACGAGAUAUGCUGUGAUUUGUUGAUUUAGUCGCAGACCACCUUAUUCAUUAGACUGAAUAUUCUAUUCAUCAAUAAUUGUGUUAUGUUCAUUGAGCAAUUGUUAUUUGUUCAUUGAAAAAUUGUUAUUAUUCAUUACAUAUUAUUAUUCAUGAAUUUUCAGGAA
Long non-coding RNA from Salvia miltiorrhiza (redroot sage), 683 nucleotides. RefSeq lists it as uncharacterized. NCBI's taxonomy places the organism in Eukaryota, Viridiplantae, Streptophyta, Magnoliopsida, Lamiales, Lamiaceae. The record is from RefSeq and is a predicted model, not a curated record. The transcript has 2 exons.